Molecule: transfer RNA, 72 nt
Filed under: Stegodyphus mimosarum
Lineage: Eukaryota; Metazoa; Arthropoda; Arachnida; Araneae; Eresidae
Rfam family: tRNA
About the family: Transfer RNA (tRNA) molecules are approximately 80 nucleotides in length. Their secondary structure includes four short double-helical elements and three loops (D, anti-codon, and T loops). Further hydrogen bonds mediate the characteristic L-shaped molecular structure. tRNAs have two regions of fundamental functional importance: the anti-codon, which is responsible for specific mRNA codon recognition, and the 3' end, to which the tRNAs corresponding amino acid is attached (by aminoacyl-tRNA synthetases). tRNAs cope with the degeneracy of the genetic code in two manners: having more than one tRNA (with a specific anti-codon) for a particular amino acid; and 'wobble' base-pairing, i.e. permitting non-standard base-pairing at the 3rd anti-codon position.
Source: Rfam by way of RNAcentral
CCUUUCGUAGUGUAAUUGGAAGCAUACUCGACGCGUACUCGAGAAAUCCAGGUUCAAGUCCCGACGAAGGCA